RNAcentral lists this ribosomal RNA (69 nucleotides) under Polystachya albescens subsp. imbricata. RNAcentral's name for it is "partial 5.8S ribosomal RNA". It matches the Rfam family "5.8S ribosomal RNA", at positions 1 to 64 of the family's 154-position model. From Rfam's summary of the family: 5.8S ribosomal RNA (5.8S rRNA) is a component of the large subunit of the eukaryotic ribosome. It is transcribed by RNA polymerase I as part of the 45S precursor that also contains 18S and 28S rRNA. The record is from RNAcentral. RNAcentral also lists the same sequence under 3 other names. Lineage: Eukaryota; Viridiplantae; Streptophyta; Magnoliopsida; Asparagales; Orchidaceae.
GACAUGACUCUCGGCAAUGGAUAUCUCGGCUCUCGCAUCGAUGAAGAGCGCAGCGAAAUGCGAUACUUG